GCCGUCUUAGCUCAGUUGGCCAGAGCACGUGACUUGUAAUCUCGGGGUCGUCAGUUCGAAUCUGACAGACGGCU
This 74-nucleotide transfer RNA is filed under the name Sphaerochaeta sp. RNAcentral's name for it is "tRNA-Thr". It matches the Rfam family "tRNA". From Rfam's summary of the family: Transfer RNA (tRNA) molecules are approximately 80 nucleotides in length. The record is from RNAcentral. Lineage: Bacteria; Pseudomonadati; Spirochaetota; Spirochaetia; Spirochaetales; Sphaerochaetaceae. RNAcentral also lists the same sequence under 2 other names.